This 253-nucleotide ribosomal RNA is filed under the name uncultured bacterium. Its description in RNAcentral is "partial 16S ribosomal RNA". It matches the Rfam family "Bacterial small subunit ribosomal RNA", at positions 524 to 776 of the family's 1533-position model. The record is from RNAcentral.
UACGGAGGGGGCAAGCGUUAUUCGGAAUUAUUGGGCGUAAAGGGCGCGUAGGCGGCUAGAUGUGUCAAAGGUGAAAUCCCUCGGCUCAACUGAGGAACUGCCUUUGAAACUGUCUGGCUUGAGGCCGGGAGAGGGUAGCGGAAUUCCCAGUGUAGCGGUGGAAUGCGCAGAUAUCAGGAGGAACACCGGUGGCGAAGGCGGGUCUCUGGGCCGAUACUGACGCUGAGGAGCGAAAGCGUGGGGAGCGAACAGG